RNAcentral lists this ribosomal RNA (253 nucleotides) under uncultured bacterium. RNAcentral describes it as "partial 16S ribosomal RNA". It matches the Rfam family "Bacterial small subunit ribosomal RNA", at positions 524 to 776 of the family's 1533-position model. The record is from RNAcentral.
GACAGAGGUGCCAAGCGUUAUGCGGAAUCACUGGGCUUAAAGCGUGUGUAGGCGGCCUUCUAAGUGCCUUGUGAAAUCCCACGGCUCAACCGUGGAACUGCUGGGCAUACUGGGAGUCUUGAGCAAUCUAGGGGCGAGCGGAACAAAUGGUGGAGCGGUGAAAUGCGUAGAUAUCAUUUGGAACGCCAAUGGUGAAAACAGCUCGCUGGGGGUUUGCUGACGCUGAGACACGAAAGCCAGGGGAGCAAACGGG